AAAAAAAAAUCUCUAAUUUUAUUGUAAUAAGCUAUUGCUCGCGGAUUAAUAAAAAAAGGUACGCGCGUGAAAAAACGUGUCCGUCCUUCGCCCCCCUCACGUGCUAGUGAAUCAAUCACUUUUUUCAGGUAAUUGGGCUCAGUCAACGAGAGUUUUGACCAUUCGCUUUACUAAUUACUACAAAUUUGCCCCUGCCGCAUCCAAGUGAAAUUCAAUUAUUGCUUAUUUCAGCAAUUAUCUCAUACACCAACUCUCAUCCUAACAUCAACAAAGUCUUCUCUUCUCACCGCUAUAUCCCCCAUUUUGACAACGUCAACGCCCAAGCAGCAUGAGCCGGAUCAGCAACUUCCAUGCGGAUUCGGGACUCCUACACACGCGGCCAUAGGGCGGAGAAAUUGUUGGUGUUACAGAGAUGCGGUCAUCCAAAUUACUGUUUGCAAAAAGGGACACG
RNAcentral lists this unclassified non-coding RNA (451 nucleotides) under Hevea brasiliensis (rubber tree). The record is from RNAcentral. Lineage: Eukaryota; Viridiplantae; Streptophyta; Magnoliopsida; Malpighiales; Euphorbiaceae.